This 305-nucleotide ribosomal RNA is filed under the name uncultured bacterium. RNAcentral's name for it is "bacterial SSU rRNA". It matches the Rfam family "Bacterial small subunit ribosomal RNA", at positions 335 to 658 of the family's 1533-position model. The record is from RNAcentral.
GGCCUACGGGGGGCAGCAGUGGGGGAUAUUGCACAAUGGGGGGAACCCUGAUGCAGCGACGCCGCGUGAGCGAUGGAGUACUUCGGUAUGUAAAGCACUGUCAGCAGGGAAGAAAAUGACGGUACCUGACCAAGAAGCCCCGGCUAAAUACGUGCCAGCAGCCGCGGUAAUACGUAUGGGGCAAGCGUUAUCCGGAAUUACUGGGUGUAAAGGGAGCGUAGACGGUUAAGUAAGUCUGGAGUGAAAGGCCGGGGCCCAACCCCGGGACUGCUCUGGAAACUAUUGAACUUGAGUGCAGGAGAGGU